RNAcentral lists this ribosomal RNA (426 nucleotides) under uncultured bacterium. RNAcentral's name for it is "partial 16S ribosomal RNA". It matches the Rfam family "Bacterial small subunit ribosomal RNA", at positions 355 to 773 of the family's 1533-position model. The record is from RNAcentral.
UGGGGAAUAUUGGACAAUGGGCGAAAGCCUGAUCCAGCCAUGCCGCGUGUGUGAAGAAGGUCUUCGGAUUGUAAAGCACUUUAAGUUGGGAGGAAGGGCAGUAAAUUAAUACUUUGCUGUUUUGACGUUACCGACAGAAUAAGCACCGGCUAACUCUGUGCCAGCAGCCGCGGUAAUACAGAGGGUGCAAGCGUUAAUCGGAAUUACUGGGCGUAAAGCGCGCGUAGGUGGUUCGUUAAGUUGGAUGUGAAAUCCCCGGGCUCAACCUGGGAACUGCAUUCAAAACUGACGAGCUAGAGUAUGGUAGAGGGUGGUGGAAUUUCCUGUGUAGCGGUGAAAUGCGUAGAUAUAGGAAGGAACACCAGUGGCGAAGGCGACCACCUGGACUGAUACUGACACUGAGGUGCGAAAGCGUGGGGAGCAAAA